RNAcentral lists this ribosomal RNA (467 nucleotides) under Pseudomonas graminis. Its description in RNAcentral is "bacterial SSU rRNA". It matches the Rfam family "Bacterial small subunit ribosomal RNA", at positions 55 to 517 of the family's 1533-position model. The record is from RNAcentral. Lineage: Bacteria; Pseudomonadati; Pseudomonadota; Gammaproteobacteria; Pseudomonadales; Pseudomonadaceae.
CUGCAGUCGAGCGGAUGAGAGAGCUUGCUCUCUUGAUUCAGCGGCGGACGGGUGAGUAAUGCCUAGGAAUCUUGCCUGGUAGUGGGGGACAACGUCUCGAAAGGGACGCUAAUACCGCAUACGUCCUACGGGAGAAAGCAGGGGACCUUCGGGCCUUGCGCUAUCAGAUGAGCCUAGGUCGGAUUAGCUAGUUGGUGAGGUAAUGGCUCACCAAGGCGACGAUCCGUAACUGGUCUGAGAGGAUGAUCAGUCACACUGGAACUGAGACACGGUCCAGACUCCUACGGGAGGCAGCAGUGGGGAAUAUUGGACAAUGGGCGAAAGCCUGAUCCAGCCAUGCCGCGUGUGUGAAGAAGGUCUUCGGAUUGUAAAGCACUUUAAGUUGGGAGGAAGGGCAGUAAGCGAAUACCUUGCUGUUUUGACGUUACCGACAGAAUAAGCACCGGCUAACUCUGUGCCAGCAGCCG